GUGCGGUAUUUCAAACGUCAGAUAUCUACACAGUACGUCUCAUGAAUAAGUUUUACAGCGACACAGAGCAUUUCAACACCAUUAUAAAUCUUGGGCAACAUUACAGAAGGGCGUAAGAGCAAAAUGUAAACAAACUGGUUUUAUGCUUAAUAUUAAACCUAAGCCAUUAAAUUAUCAUUCUCCGUUCGAAUAACAUUAGAAAAAACUCUUUGGACCGCCAAAAACAAGAUUCAUAAAAAGGCCGUAAAGCAAAAUUAAUUGCAGUAGAAUCCUGUUGCUGAUAAGCCCGUUUUGUUUACUCAUAAUUUUCAACAGUCAUAAUCAUUUUUUUGAGUUAAAAUGCACUUCUAAUGCUUGCUGAGGGUCACAGCGAUCAUUUUGGCCAAGUUUUGUUGCAUUUAUUAUAAAUAUGCCGAUAUAUCCUCAAAAAUACUCAUUGAGUAAAUUAUGUGCAUUAGGCCAUUAUUAUUUUUCAGCCUUCAAUACGCCCUGCUUUACCGACUGUUUUCAAUACAAUAAUGUUGAUGCGGCUAUGACAACAGCCCGUUAUCGGAAAUGAUUUGCUGUUAAGCCGUUCGUGUUUCGCGUGCUAUGGAGUCACUGGCUGUUCCGGACCUGCGCUCACAAAAACAUUUUUAAGGAGCAAAGGAAGUGAUCGAACAGGUUGUUUAUUAUUGUGUAUUGAAUCGCUCCGACGAAGCAUAACACAGCUACGCUACGGAAUGUGCUUUUGAUGUCAUCAAUAGCCCUUACGCAAAGUGAAGUGGCUAGGAUCUUUCUAAAACAAAUGUUCUGCUGCUAAUUGUUUCAAAAAUCUUCACUUCGAGGCAACACCUCAGCUAACUGGAUUAAAUGUGUAGUUAUCUAUGAUGGGUAAAAUAGCAGAAAAAUCAAUAGCAUUAAUUCUGUUAUAACAAGAAACCGCCUCCUACGAAACAUUAAGGCUCGUUUAUUGCUUUAUCGGAGACAGUUUAGUAGGAGUUGAUCAAUAAUAACCGAAAAUAGUCAAUCUCAACAGGCCGAUCUAAUUUCACAUCAGAUAUCGUUGGGUGAUUCGGCUCUUGCUUUUAAGUGGGAAAUGGAAAGUUGUAAUGAGAAGUACUUCAAGUGGAUUAUUAAAGCGGAAAGAAAAUGUUCAUUGGUCAAACGCAUUUUUUCUUUAUAGAGCUAUUUGAGCAGCAGCAAUCGCGCAGAUAUCAAUUGCAUACGAGAAAAAAAUAUUUUGCACUUUAAACGGCACUUUAUUUAUCUUUCACGGAAGUAGCUACAUUUACACGAACAUUAUUCAUAAAUGCACGCAGAGCCUAUAUUUGGAAAUAAAAACAUGUUUCAAUCUCAAUUUAUAUUUUAAUUUUUUUUUUUUCAAAUGCUAAAUGUACUUGAUUUGUAUAAUAUUGUUAUAAAAUGCAUUGUCCAUUUAUGUUUACUGAAAUUGGUAAGAUGUACAAUCAGCAAAUCGCGUUCUGAAAUUCGAUAUUAGAUAAAUAAGAAUACUCUGGCGCUGUCGUUGGCUGCCAGCAGAAAGUUCCCGUGCAAAUCUUGUGAAUUGUUUCGGCUUUUAUUCAAUUCUUGAGAAAGAUAUGACGUUGGCUACAUACGAUGAAGAUAACAGGUUGAUGUGAGGUAGGGGCAUACAAAAACACUUUCCGUAGUUCUUAGAAUGCAGCACUUUGUUGCUUUUGUUUCGUGCGGUGUUCCCACUUCAUUUUCUCUUAAUGUUUUGUGAUCAAUUAAAUGAAAACUCUAUUAUAUUUCCAUUGAAAGUAAAAGCCUUAGAGCAAACUGAAAUGAAAACACGCCGUUAGGUUGCGGUCGCAUGAAGAUUUUGUUGUCAACAAGAGGCGGCUGUCAACGGCCCUAGCAGCAAAAGCUGGUCGACGACAGGCGGCAAAGUAGGGCGUUAAACAUACCAAAAUUUGAAAACGGCGCAUUGUAUAUAUUCUCGCUUUUCAGCUCAUAAAUAAAUUCUCGCUAGAAAAUGAAGGGUCAGAAUGAAUAAUAUGUCUACCUAGUUUACUUUAAUCUUUAGUUUGGGUUACUAACAAUCACUCGUUUGAAUAGAGAAUAAAAAACAUCAUGAAAAAUUUCAAAGCCGAUUUUCUCGGAAGCAUGCAAUUGCUGUAAGGCCCUUCUGAAAAAUCGUCCUAGAAAUACUUCAGGCGAGCUAAUUCGAACGUUUAAAUUGGCUGAGUUUUAUGUAUGUCAGCUGGAGGAAAACAAAACCCCAAAAGUGUGUGUGAAAGGAAUUGCAUAGAACUCUACAGCGACAAGGUCUACCCUAAAAAAGUUUAGGCAGACUUCAAUUGGACAAAAAAUGAUUAGAACGGGAAUUUGAAAAAUAUUUAAUUCUCUUGUGUUGUUGGACAUACAAAACGGCGAUGAACACGUUAAGUGGCCACAUUCCUCCCACAUCUCCGACAGGUGUGGUUUCUGCGCUGGCCUAUGUAAAGCACUCUUUCGGCGCGUGCUUGCCGUUACGGAAGAACGAAAGGAACAAAUCAGGUGCACCCUGACAAUGCCAAAUUUCUCCAUUGCCUCGCUAGUGCAAUCUAACUACAUUUCAUGUUACAAACGCCGCCGAACCCUCAUACAGCAGCUAAUUAUUUCCGAAAGCUGCUUUCAGAUUUCGUCGCUGUUGUGCUAUCUUAUUACAAGCGCCAUUUAGCACAUUUCGAGAAAAACGAUUUUUAAAGUUUGAGAUUGAAUAUCUUGAAACUUAUAAAUGGUAUAAACAAUCCAAAGAAGACAAUUGAUGCUUCUAUCUGUUCUGCAUUAAUCUCUCAAAUAUUACGAAGAUCGGUUGACUAUGUUGCGAGUUUUUACUAUGAAUGUAAACAAAAGUCGCACUCACACGUGUCAUAGGCGUGUAUUGAUGUCAAAAUUUGUAGGACGUGUCAUAAUCGUGCAUGGAAAAUUUUCCAUAGAAAAAAAUCAUCGCUUUUUAACUUUUAUUCAUAUCUUUGGGUUCAUAUGGUCUAUAAACAUUCGGUGAAAUGCAUUUUAAAGGAAAUGAGUCAGGGAAUCUAGAAAAAAUGGUUAUUCUUGAUUACAGUGUUGCCAAAUAUAUUUUAUUUCCAGUUCAAAACUAAAACUGUGUUUUUCUCACAACUCGUAUAAUUUUCUUUCGAAAAUGUUUAUGCCAUUGUGUUCCUCAGACAUUUUCACACAUAAAACCGUCGAAAACUUUAAUAUAACUUGAGCCAAUCCCUAGAUAUAGUGAUUUGAAGCAAAAAACUUACAAUUUCUUAUCAUGUUUCUAGCUAUAUCUAAGUAACCAAGUAGAAUUUCAAAAUUCUGAAAACGCCACUUUGUAGAGAUUUUUCAAACAAGUAAUGUGGCAUAUCUAACUCAGUUUACCCCAAAAUGGCGUUUGUCAUAAUAUAGCACAACAGCGACGAUUUAGCCUAGCGCGGAAGAAGUUGACAUCCAAGUGGAUCCAGAGAUAGUACACGAGGACGCGGACGAUGAGCGAUCAGAUAUCGAAAAUGCUGUGGAAGACGCUGAUGAAUUAAACAUUUUCCUUUGGAACCAAAAACCGGAAUGCGCAUCAAGGAAGAGAAUGGGAAGAUUUACGUUAUUAGCGGGAGGGGAGAGGAAAAAGUUGAAAUGGGUGAUUUGCAGAGCGUUUUCGUCGAUUUAUGGAUCCGGAUCGCAACAUGAAACAAAAUAGUUCAAAGGGAGAAAAGGAAUCUGCUGGUUUGCCGCUAAAGAAGGAUCGUUCAUUACCCAUUCGGAACCGAUGUCCAUAUUGUAAUAGAGUUUGCGGACAAGUACCUGAUGACGACGCACAUUCGAUGGCACACGAGUAAAAAGCCCUUCAAAUGUGUCCCCACUGUUCGAAAACAUUCACUCAAUCGAUAACGCUGAAGAUACACGUCAGGUUUCACACCCGGGAAAACACGAGAAUUUGCAUGCCACCGGGAAACUGUUCGAUUGUCGCGAUUGUGGUAAAAAGUAUAACACAUAUGUGUCCAAAUGCAAGGUUUCUAAUACCAACGUAAAGGAAAAGAUGUACUCGUGUAAAAUAUACAGCCAAACAUUCAAGCAUCAGCAAAGCAGGGUGUACCACAUGAGCAACAAAACCAAACAGAAACGGUUCGACAGAGGUUUUGAGAGAUAUGAAGACGGACGAAGGAGAGGCGAUUUGACGAAGCUAAAAUAACUUUCUCGUUCCCAAAUUGUUAAAGCUACCAAGCGCAAUACCGGACAACUUGAGCAAUUUGUCCUGAGCAUGUUUUUGGCAAGUGGUGAGGAUAGUGUAUCUGUUUAUUGGGUAGUAUUUGGCACACCAACAUUAGUAGCGUAAAUAUCCAGCGCCAGACGCAGGUUCCGUUUGAUGGAUUCGAUGGAAUCGCUAUCGACAGACUCUUCAUCAUCUCGACUUCCAUGAGCUCAUUCAGUACUUUAUGAUAAAAUAACAAUAGUCUACACAGGCUACGGUCCGACCCGGAUGUAGAAUUCAACUAGAUACAUUCGACAAUAAUACCACGCAAGACUGGCAGUAUACUCGACUGCUGUAUGCUUUUCAAGAGCAGCUGAUUUUUGGUGAACUAUCGGAAAGGAUUCAAACGAAAUGGCAUUUGCUUACAUUUCAGCAUGUAUCAAACAAUUGAAUUCAAAUAGUUUGUACCUUUCCGAUUUAUUUGAGGCAUGAUUUUCCUGGAAAGACAAAUACCAACAGUAUCAAAAUAGCGCCGAUUUUUUUUUUAACGUGGCGAAUGAAUUUUUUAAAGUCACGUAAAUAAAACAAUCAAUCAA
This is a long non-coding RNA of Topomyia yanbarensis, 4758 nucleotides long. RefSeq lists it as uncharacterized. NCBI's taxonomy places the organism in Eukaryota, Metazoa, Arthropoda, Insecta, Diptera, Culicidae. The transcript is spliced from 4 exons. The record is from RefSeq and is a predicted model, not a curated record.